RNAcentral lists this ribosomal RNA (579 nucleotides) under uncultured bacterium. Its description in RNAcentral is "bacterial SSU rRNA". It matches the Rfam family "Bacterial small subunit ribosomal RNA", at positions 104 to 680 of the family's 1533-position model. The record is from RNAcentral.
GGGUGAGUAAUGCUUAGGAAUCUGCCCAGUAGUGGGGGACAACAGUCGGAAACGGCUGCUAAUACCGCAUACGCCCUACGGGGGAAAGCAGGGGAUCUUCGGACCUUGCGCUAUUGGAUGAGCCUAAGUCGGAUUAGCUAGUUGGUGGGGUAAAGGCCUACCAAGGCGACGAUCCGUAGCUGGUCUGAGAGGAUGAUCAGCCACAUCGGGACUGAGACACGGCCCGAACUCCUACGGGAGGCAGCAGUGGGGAAUAUUGGACAAUGGGGGCAACCCUGAUCCAGCCAUGCCGCGUGUGUGAAGAAGGCUUUCGGGUUGUAAAGCACUUUCAGCGAGGAGGAAGGCCUUAAAGUUAAUACCUUUAGGGAUUGACGUUACUCGCAGAAGAAGCACCGGCUAACUCCGUGCCAGCAGCCGCGGUAAUACGGAGGGUGCAAGCGUUAAUCGGAAUUACUGGGCGUAAAGCGCGCGUAGGUGGUUUGGUAAGCGAGAUGUGAAAGCCCCGGGCUUAACCUGGGAACGGCAUUUCGAACUGUCAGACUAGAGUGUGGUAGAGGUAGUGGAAUUUCCUGUGUAGCG